RNAcentral lists this unclassified non-coding RNA (336 nucleotides) under soil metagenome. RNAcentral's name for it is "partial contains 5.8S ribosomal RNA, internal transcribed spacer 2, and large subunit ribosomal RNA". The stretch from base 1 to 120 matches the Rfam family "5.8S ribosomal RNA", at positions 35 to 154 of the family's 154-position model. The record is from RNAcentral.
GAUGAAGAACGCAGCGAAAUGCGAUAAGUAAUGUGAAUUGCAGAAUUCAGUGAAUCAUCGAAUCUUUGAACGCACAUUGCGCCCGCCAGUAUUCUGGCGGGCAUGCCUGUUCGAGCGUCAUUUCAACCAUCAAGCCCCAGGCUUGUGUUGGGGACCUGCGGCUGCCGCAGGCCCUGAAAACCAGUGGCGGGCUCGCUGUCACACCGGGCGUAGUAGAUUUUAUCUCGCUCAGGGUGUGCUGCGGGUUCCGGCCGUUAAAAAGCCUUUUUUACCCAAGGUUGACCUCGGAUCAGGUAGGAAGACCCGCUGAACUUAAGCAUAUCAAUAAGCGGAGGA